ACGCGAAGAACCUUACCUGGUCUUGACAUCCACAGAAGUUUCCAGAGAUGGGAAGGUGCCUUCGGGAACUGUGAGACAGGUGCUGCAUGGCUGUCGUCAGCUCGUGUUGUGAAAUGUUGGGUUAAGUCCCGCAACGAGCGCAACCCUUAUCCUUUGUUGCCAGCGGUCCGGCCGGGAACUCAAAGGAGACUGCCAGUGAUAAACUGGAGGAAGGUGGGGAUGACGUCAAGUCAUCAUGGCCCUUACGACCAGGGCUACACACGUGCUACAAUGGCGCAUACAAAGAGAAGCGACCUCGCGAGAGCAAGCGGACCUCAUAAAGUGCGUCGUAGUCCGGAUUGGAGUCUGCAACUCGACUCCAUGAAGUCGGAAUCGCUAGUAAU
RNAcentral lists this ribosomal RNA (383 nucleotides) under bacterium enrichment culture DGGE gel band MC6. Its description in RNAcentral is "bacterial SSU rRNA". It matches the Rfam family "Bacterial small subunit ribosomal RNA", at positions 959 to 1342 of the family's 1533-position model. The record is from RNAcentral.